CUGAAAUCUGUCCAAAAUAAUGAAGGUCAGACUAUUACUGGCACAAGAUGAUCAGCUGCCCAUCUGCUGUGAGCUAAGUGGCAUUAUCCCACCAGCUGAAGGAACAGUACUGCUGCAACGAGGUAAUUGUAAAUAUAAAGGGCUAAGAAUCCAGAUGGAUGAAGUGAUUUUCACAGUCUCCUGCUUAACUGCGAUUGUAAUCUUGAACCUGCCUAUGGAUUACAUAGAUGGGAAGCCUAUACCAGCUGUUGUUUUUCAUGGUCUUCCUUCUACUUUUCAUGCCUUCCUCGUCUGCCUUAUGGGUUCUUGUUGUGCCUCUGUUUGCUCCAUGCAUCUCAGGGAUAGAAAGCUUAAGAUUGCCAAGUUUUACUAUUUUUUUGCACUUCUUUCUACUUUGUUGUCCCUGGCAAUUUUCUGCUGGGCUGCUGUUCCUGCUACCCUCUUGUGGGUGGCUUCUAUAUUUCGUUGAAGGAAUACGUACCUAGAAUGAUGCUUUGCUUAUAGGGAAAUUUACUGUUCAUCGUGAACUCAAAAUAUAUGUGAUUAAAUUUAAAAUGA
Molecule: unclassified non-coding RNA, 558 nt
Filed under: Hevea brasiliensis (rubber tree)
Lineage: Eukaryota; Viridiplantae; Streptophyta; Magnoliopsida; Malpighiales; Euphorbiaceae
Source: RNAcentral